UCUCCAAGUUAGUACUCUC
This 19-nucleotide non-coding RNA is filed under the name Arabidopsis thaliana (thale cress). Lineage: Eukaryota; Viridiplantae; Streptophyta; Magnoliopsida; Brassicales; Brassicaceae. The record is from RNAcentral.